Molecule: ribosomal RNA, 301 nt
Filed under: uncultured bacterium
Lineage: Bacteria
Description: partial 16S ribosomal RNA
Rfam family: Bacterial small subunit ribosomal RNA
Source: RNAcentral
CAGUCGCCGCGGUAAUACGUAGGUGGCAAGCGUUGUCCGGAAUUAUUGGGCGUAAAGCGCGCGCAGGCGGAUCAGUCAGUCUGUCUUAAAAGUUCGGGGCUUAACCCCGUGAGGGGAUGGAAACUGCUGAUCUAGAGUAUCGGAGAGGAAAGUGGAAUUCCUGGUGUAGCGGUGAAAUGCGUAGAUAUUAGGAAGAACACCAGUGGCGAAGGCGACUUUCUGGACGAAAACUGACGCUGAGGCGCGAAAGCCAGGGGAGCGAACGGGAUUAGAUACCCCUGUAGUCCCUGUCUCUUAUACA